This 506-nucleotide ribosomal RNA is filed under the name uncultured bacterium. RNAcentral describes it as "bacterial SSU rRNA". It matches the Rfam family "Bacterial small subunit ribosomal RNA", at positions 8 to 526 of the family's 1533-position model. The record is from RNAcentral.
AGAGUUUGAUCCUGGCUCAGAAUCAACGCUGGCGGCGUGCCUCAGACAUGCAAGUCGAACGAUUAAGACUCCCUUCGGGGAGUGUAUAAAGUGGCGUACGGGUGAGUAACACGUAAGUAAUCUACCUUCGAGUGGGGAAUAACAGUCGGAAACGGCUGCUAAUACCGCAUAAUGCAGCGGCAUCGAAAGAUGACAGUUGUUAAAGGAGCAAUUCGCUUGAAGAGGAGCUUGCGGCAGAUUAGCUAGUUGGUAAGGUAAUGGCUUACCAAGGCUACGAUCUGUAUCCGGUCUAAGAGGACGGUCGGACACACUGACACUGAAUAACGGGUCAGACUCCUACGGGAGGCAGCAGUCGGGAAUUUUGGGCAAUGGGCGAAAGCCUGACCCAGCAACGCCGCGUGAAGGAUGAAGUUUUUCGGAAUGUAAACUUCGAAAGAAUGGGAAGAAUAAAUGACGGUGCCAUUUAUAAGGUCCGGCUAACUACGUGCCAGCCGCCGCGGUAAUAC